Molecule: unclassified non-coding RNA, 102 nt
Organism: Aotus nancymaae (Ma's night monkey)
Lineage: Eukaryota; Metazoa; Chordata; Mammalia; Primates; Aotidae
Rfam family: Y RNA
About the family: Y RNAs are components of the Ro ribonucleoprotein particle (Ro RNP), in association with Ro60 and La proteins. The Y RNAs and Ro60 and La proteins are well conserved, but the function of the Ro RNP is not known.
Source: Ensembl
GGCUGGUCCGAGUGCAGUGGUGUUUACAACUAAUUGAUCACAACCGGUUACAGAUUUCUUUGUUCCUCCUCCACUCCCACUGCUUCACUUGACUAGCCUUAA